Molecule: ribosomal RNA, 281 nt
Filed under: uncultured bacterium
Lineage: Bacteria
Description: partial 16S ribosomal RNA
Rfam family: Bacterial small subunit ribosomal RNA
Source: RNAcentral
UGGCCUACGGGAGGCAGCAGUGAGGAAUAUUGGUCAAUGGGCGCGAGCCUGAACCAGCCAAGUCGCGUGAGGGAAGACGGUCCUAUGGAUUGUAAACCUCUUUUGUCGGGGAGCAAAAGACGCCACGUGUGGCGUUCCGAGAGUACCCGAAGAAAAAGAAUCGGCUAAAUCCGUGCCAGCAGCCGCGGGAAUACGGAGGAUGCGAGCGUUAUCCGGAUUUAUUGGGUUUAAAGGGUGCGCAGGCGGAAGAGCAAGUCAGCGGUAAAAUUGAGAGGCGCAAC